RNAcentral lists this ribosomal RNA (497 nucleotides) under uncultured bacterium. Its description in RNAcentral is "partial 16S ribosomal RNA". It matches the Rfam family "Bacterial small subunit ribosomal RNA", at positions 28 to 507 of the family's 1533-position model. The record is from RNAcentral.
GAUGAACGCUGGCGGCGUGCCUAAUACAUGCAAGUCGAGCGAACAGACGAGGAGCUUGCUCCUCUGACGUUAGCGGCGGACGGGUGAGUAACACGUGGAUAACCUACCUAUACGACUGGGAUAACUUCGGGAAACCGGAGCUAAUACCGGAUAAUAUAUUGAACCGCAUGGUUCAAUAGUGAAAGACGGUUUUGCUGUCACUUAUAGAUGGAUCCGCGCCGCAUUAGCUAGUUGGUAAGGUAACGGCUUACCAAGGCAACGAUGCGUAGCCGACCUGAGAGGGUGAGCGGCCACACUGGAACUGAGACACGGUCCAGACUCCUACGGGAGGCAGCAGUAGGGAAUCUGCCGCAAUGGGCGAAAGCCUGACGGAGCAACGCCGCGUGAGUGAUGAAGGUCUUCGGAUCGUAAAACUCUGUUAUUAGGGAAGAACAAAUGUGUAAGUAACUAUGCACGUCUUGACGGUACCUAAUCAGAAAGCCACGGCUAACUACGUG